Molecule: long non-coding RNA, 648 nt
Filed under: Equus asinus (donkey)
Lineage: Eukaryota; Metazoa; Chordata; Mammalia; Perissodactyla; Equidae
Description: lncRNA (ENSEASG00005028800.1)
Source: RNAcentral
CGGCAGCCCCUUCGAGUGGCUGAGCUGGCCUUUCUUGGGAGGGACCUUUCUUCUGGAAGUUCCGCGAAUUUGUUGCUGUUAGGGCGGUGUUUCCGACGGAUCGAGUAAACUCCCAACUGCUGGGAAUACCAAAAAAAAUCACAACUAUGGAAACUUUGAGGAACUAUGAGGAAGAGGAAACUUUUUCUUUGAACAAAGAUCGCCAAGUGGUCAGCUGGGACUUCAGCUUCAGGUCAGAUGGAGUAACAAGGACGGGAUUUUUCCUCCAGCAUGAAACAACAACAAAAAUAUCGAAUCAAGGUGCUAGGCAUCAGACAACCAAAGAGAGUGAUCCCUGAGAAAUGGAAAACAGAUGAGAAAGCUCCAGAAUACAUCAGAGGAAUUGAGAGGAGGAGGAAACAUCCUGUUCUUCUACCCAACCACAUCAGAUUAAGCACUGACCAUAAGCUUUAAAAAAAAAAAGGCUGUAUGUCAGGGGUGCAGGACACCAAGAAGAGCAUGAUGAUGUCCACUGUCCAUUAUCCCUAAUGUCCCAUCUUUGGUUCCAAUGCAUGACACUCUCAAGAUGCAGUCCUCUGCCUCACAAUGGAUGUGGCUGGUGAUUGCUGGUGGUGAUGGUCCCGACUCCUCUUGGACCUUGGAUCUGUU